RNAcentral lists this ribosomal RNA (253 nucleotides) under uncultured bacterium. RNAcentral describes it as "partial 16S ribosomal RNA". It matches the Rfam family "Bacterial small subunit ribosomal RNA", at positions 524 to 776 of the family's 1533-position model. The record is from RNAcentral.
GACGAACCGAGCGAACGUUAUUCGGAAUCACUGGGCUUAAAGGGCGCGUAGGCGGGCGGCCAAGUCAGGGGUGAAAGCCCCCAGCUCAACUGGGGAAGUGCCUCUGAUACUGGUCAUCUUGAGGGAGGUAGGGGCGUGCGGAACUUCCGGUGGAGCGGUGAAAUGCGCAGAUAUCAGGAAGAACACCCGUGGCGAAGGCGGCUCUCUGGAACGCAACUGACGCUGAGACGCGAAAGCGUGGGGAGCGAACAGG